RNAcentral lists this ribosomal RNA (253 nucleotides) under uncultured bacterium. RNAcentral's name for it is "partial 16S ribosomal RNA". It matches the Rfam family "Bacterial small subunit ribosomal RNA", at positions 524 to 776 of the family's 1533-position model. The record is from RNAcentral.
UACGUAGGAUCCAAGCGUUGUCCGGAUUUACUGGGUGUAAAGGGUGCGCAGGCGGACUUAUAAGUCAGGGGUGAAAUCUCACUGCUCAACAGUGAAACUGCCUUUGAUACUGUAGGUCUUGAAUUAGGGAGAGAUUCGUGGAAUUCCGAGUGUAGCAGUGAAAUGUGUAGAUAUUCGGAAGAACACCAGAGGCGAAGGCAGCGAAUUGGCCCUAUAUUGACGCUCAGGCACGAAAGCAUGGGGAUCAAACAGG